UACGAAGGGGGCUAGCGUUGCUCGGAAUCACUGGGCGUAAAGGGUGCGUAGGUGGCGCGGUAAGUCGGGUGUGAAAUUUCGGAGCUUAACUCCGAAACUGCAUUCGAUACUGCCGAGCUUGAGGACUGGAGAGGAGACUGGAAUUUACGGUGUAGCAGUGAAAUGCGUAGAUAUCGUAAGGAAGACCAGUGGCGAAGGCGGGUCUCUGGACAGUUCCUGACACUGAGGCACGAAGGCCAGGGGAGCAAACGGG
This 253-nucleotide ribosomal RNA is filed under the name uncultured bacterium. RNAcentral's name for it is "partial 16S ribosomal RNA". It matches the Rfam family "Bacterial small subunit ribosomal RNA", at positions 524 to 776 of the family's 1533-position model. The record is from RNAcentral.